This 246-nucleotide ribosomal RNA is filed under the name uncultured bacterium. RNAcentral's name for it is "partial 16S ribosomal RNA". It matches the Rfam family "Bacterial small subunit ribosomal RNA", at positions 86 to 334 of the family's 1533-position model. The record is from RNAcentral.
AGAUGGCGACCGGCGCACGGGUGAGUAACACGUAUCCAACCUGCCGAUAACUCGGGGAUAGCCUUUCGAAAGAAAGAUUAAUACCCGAUGGUAUAAUCAGACCGCAUGGUUUGAUUAUUAAAGAAUUCGGUUAUCGAUGGGGAUGCGUUCCAUUAGGCAGUUGGUGAGGUAACGGCUCACCAAACCUUCGAUGGAUAGGGGUUCUGAGAGGAAGGUCCCCCACAUUGGAACUGAGACACGGUCCAA